CGCAGCGCUGCCGCCGCCGCCUCCCGCCGCUCCCGGCUGCCAUUUUAAGGUGAACAAAGCGGAGGAGGCGGCGGCAGAUCUGCUUACGGCGGCACCCUCGGGGCGGGGGGCGGGCCCCGGGCUCCGCCACCAUGUUCAGCAAGAAGCCCUACGACAGCCCC
Long non-coding RNA from Neopelma chrysocephalum (saffron-crested tyrant-manakin), 161 nucleotides. RefSeq lists it as uncharacterized. The record is from RefSeq and is a predicted model, not a curated record. Lineage: Eukaryota; Metazoa; Chordata; Aves; Passeriformes; Pipridae. The transcript has 3 exons.